Molecule: ribosomal RNA, 482 nt
Filed under: uncultured bacterium
Lineage: Bacteria
Description: partial 16S ribosomal RNA
Rfam family: Bacterial small subunit ribosomal RNA
Source: RNAcentral
AUUGAACGCUGGCGGCAUGCUUUACACAUGCAAGUCGAACGGUAACAGGCCGCAAGGUGCUGACGAGUGGCGAACGGGUGAGUAAUGCAUCGGAACGUGCCCAGUCGUGGGGGAUAACUACUCGAAAGAGUAGCUAAUACCGCAUACGAUCUAUGGAUGAAAGCGGGGGACCGUAAGGCCUCGCGCGAUUGGAGCGGCCGAUGUCAGAUUAGGUAGUUGGUGGGGUAAAGGCUCACCAAGCCAACGAUCUGUAGCUGGUCUGAGAGGACGACCAGCCACACUGGGACUGAGACACGGCCCAGACUCCUACGGGAGGCAGCAGUGGGGAAUUUUGGACAAUGGGAGCAAGCCUGAUCCAGCAAUGCCGCGUGCAGGAAGAAGGCCUUCGGGUUGUAAACUGCUUUUGUACGGAACGAAACGGCUCUGGUUAAUACCCGGGGCUAAUGGCGGUACCGUAAGAAUAAGCACCGGCUGACUACGUG